This 75-nucleotide transfer RNA is filed under the name Cordylochernes scorpioides. Its description in RNAcentral is "tRNA-Thr". The record is from RNAcentral. Lineage: Eukaryota; Metazoa; Arthropoda; Arachnida; Pseudoscorpiones; Chernetidae.
UGUCCCGUGAAGAGAAACGAACUCACAGUGUUCCGCUUACCGGGCAGAUGCCAUGUCCACUAAGCUACCCUGGAC